UCAAUUUUAAAAAUAAUUCACUAUAAUACAAUUUUCAUUAAUGCUUUCAUAUGCAAUGACUAUAAAUAAAAGUCAGGGACAAACGUUAUCCCAUGUUGGAUUGCUACUGAAGAAGCCAGUUUUUGUACAAGGAC
Ipomoea nil (Japanese morning glory) is the source of this 134-nucleotide long non-coding RNA. RefSeq lists it as uncharacterized. The transcript is spliced from 3 exons. Lineage: Eukaryota; Viridiplantae; Streptophyta; Magnoliopsida; Solanales; Convolvulaceae. The record is from RefSeq and is a predicted model, not a curated record.